This 237-nucleotide long non-coding RNA is filed under the name Mytilus galloprovincialis (Mediterranean mussel). Lineage: Eukaryota; Metazoa; Mollusca; Bivalvia; Mytilida; Mytilidae. The record is from RNAcentral.
CAGGAGCCAACUUAAAUUCGGUGACUGAGUAAGUAAAACAUAUAGAUACAGUCUUAACAUCAGGUUGAUUUUAAAACAUUUUCUUGAGACUGAACUAAUAAAAUCCCUGUUCCAACUGAGUAGGGGUGUAAUUUUCUACAUCUGUAUGUCUGUCUAAUAUUUCUGUUGCACUUCUAUCACCAAUUACAAAGCAGAGUUUGUGAUAUAUAUGGUAUACAAUGUAUAUCAGUAAGCUAC